RNAcentral lists this ribosomal RNA (423 nucleotides) under Triticum aestivum (bread wheat). RNAcentral describes it as "partial small subunit ribosomal RNA". Lineage: Eukaryota; Viridiplantae; Streptophyta; Magnoliopsida; Poales; Poaceae. The record is from RNAcentral.
AUGGCCCAAUCCGCCUCAAGCUCUUCCAGAGACCCAAAUGAUCGUAGCAUAUGGGACCUCAUCUGGAAGUCAAAUGUCCCUAGGAAGGUCUGCAUAUUUGGAUGGAGAGUGGCUACUAAUACGCUAGCUACAAAGAAAAACAAGUGGAGAAGAACACUUGAAGUGGAUGCCACCUGCAAUAUCUGCGGAAAUGGUAUCGAGGACGAGCAUCAUGCGGUGGUAAUGUGCACAAAGAGUAGAGCCCUGCGAGCUGCUAUGAGGGAUGUUUGGAAUUUACCACCAGAGAGCAAAUUCUGGUUUACUGGUGAUGACUGGCUUCAAAAUCUGCUGGACACGGAGAGCGAGGAAGGGCGAGCCAAAAUCCUGCCGCUCCUAUGGCGAAGCUGGCACCUGAGAGAAGACGCCCUUCGGAAUAACGGGAGG